Sinocyclocheilus grahami is the source of this 113-nucleotide long non-coding RNA. RefSeq lists it as uncharacterized. The record is from RefSeq and is a predicted model, not a curated record. The transcript is spliced from 3 exons. Lineage: Eukaryota; Metazoa; Chordata; Actinopteri; Cypriniformes; Cyprinidae.
UGCGGGAAAGUUUGAUUUACAUAAGCUUCAGUCUGGAUCCAGAACACCUGAGAAGAAAUGAUGCCAACCCCUCUAAGGGACCUCAGAUCAUGCCAACCCUGAAACAACAUACA